Long non-coding RNA from Mobula hypostoma (lesser devil ray), 150 nucleotides. RefSeq lists it as uncharacterized. The record is from RefSeq and is a predicted model, not a curated record. NCBI's taxonomy places the organism in Eukaryota, Metazoa, Chordata, Chondrichthyes, Myliobatiformes, Myliobatidae. The transcript is spliced from 3 exons.
GAGCAGGCAACUUCAUUAUCAUUUCACAAUCUCACUCCUCAAGAGGAAACACAGCCAGCACCUUCCUUGCUGGAAGAUCUUAGACUGAAGUGUGUAUUUGGUGAAGAGGUUCAACUGCAACAAGCAGAGAAAGAGCUCAUCAGAGAGGUA